GCGGACGGGUGAGUAAUGCCUAGGAAAUUGCCCUGAUGUGGGGGAUAACCAUUGGAAACGAUGGCUAAUACCGCAUGAUGCCUACGGGCCAAAGAGGGGGACCUUCGGGCCUCUCGCGUCAGGAUAUGCCUAGGUGGGAUUAGCUAGUUGGUGAGGUAAGGGCUCACCAAGGCGACGAUCCCUAGCUGGUCUGAGAGGAUGAUCAGCCACACUGGAACUGAGACACGGUCCAGACUCCUACGGGAGGCAGCAGUGGGGAAUAUUGCACAAUGGGCGCAAGCCUGAUGCAGCCAUGCCGCGUGUGUGAAGAAGGCCUUCGGGUUGUAAAGCACUUUCAGUCGUGAGGAAGGUGGUGUAGUUAAUAGCUGCAUUAUUUGACGUUAGCGACAGAAGAAGCACCGGCUAACUCCGUGCCAGCAGCCGCGGUAAUACGGAGGGUGCGAGCGUUAAUCGGAAUUACUGGGCGUAAAGCGCAUGCA
RNAcentral lists this ribosomal RNA (479 nucleotides) under Vibrio sp. RNAcentral describes it as "bacterial SSU rRNA". It matches the Rfam family "Bacterial small subunit ribosomal RNA", at positions 98 to 573 of the family's 1533-position model. Lineage: Bacteria; Pseudomonadati; Pseudomonadota; Gammaproteobacteria; Vibrionales; Vibrionaceae. The record is from RNAcentral.